GACGAACGCUGGCGGCGUGCUUAACACAUGCAAGUCGAACGGAAAGGCCCUGCUUUUGUGGGGUGCUCGAGUGGCGAACGGGUGAGUAACACGUGAGUAACCUGCCCUUGACUUUGGGAUAACUUCAGGAAACUGGGGCUAAUACCGGAUAGGAGCUCCUGCUGCAUGGUGGGGGUUGGAAAGUUUCGGCGGUUGGGGAUGGACUCGCGGCUUAUCAGCUUGUUGGUGGGGUAGUGGCUUACCAAGGCUUUGACGGGUAGCCGGCUUGAGAGGGUGACCGGCCACAUUGGGACUGAGAUACGGCCCAGACUCCUACGGGAGGCAGCAGUGGGGAAUAUUGCACAAUGGGCGGAAGCCUGAUGCGGCAACGCCGCGUGCGGGAUGACGGCCUUCGGGUUGUAAACCGCUUUCGCCUGUGACGAAGCGUGAGUGACGGUAAUGGGUAAAGAAGCGCCGGCUAACUACGUG
Molecule: ribosomal RNA, 468 nt
Filed under: uncultured bacterium
Lineage: Bacteria
Description: partial 16S ribosomal RNA
Rfam family: Bacterial small subunit ribosomal RNA
Source: RNAcentral